Molecule: ribosomal RNA, 363 nt
Filed under: Calonarius napus
Lineage: Eukaryota; Fungi; Basidiomycota; Agaricomycetes; Agaricales; Cortinariaceae
Description: SSU rRNA
Rfam family: Eukaryotic small subunit ribosomal RNA
Source: RNAcentral
UAACGGCAAUGUACUGUCUGGCUGGGUCUUACCUCUUGGUGAGCCGGUGUGCCCUUUAUUGGUGUGCAUUGGGGAACCAGGACUUUUACCUUGAGAAAAUUAGAGUGUUCAAAGCAGGCCUAUGCCCGAAUACAUUAGCAUGGAAUAAUAAAAUAGGACGUGCGGUUCUAUUUUGUUGGUUUCUAGAGUCGCCGUAAUGAUUAAUAGGGAUAGUUGGGGGCAUUGGUAUUGAGUCGCUAGAGGUGAAAUUCUUGGAUUGACUCAAGACCAACUAUUGCGAAAGCAUUUGCCAAGGAUGUUUUCAUUAAUCAAGAACGAAGGUUAGGGGAUCGAAAACGAUCAGAUACCGUUGUAGUCUUAACC